GAGGGUAUGGCUCAGUGGUAGAGCGCAUGCUUAGCAUGAACAGGGCCGUGGGUUCCAUCCCCAGUACCUCCG
Molecule: transfer RNA, 72 nt
Filed under: Camelus bactrianus (Bactrian camel)
Lineage: Eukaryota; Metazoa; Chordata; Mammalia; Artiodactyla; Camelidae
Also listed under: 2 other names
Rfam family: tRNA
About the family: Transfer RNA (tRNA) molecules are approximately 80 nucleotides in length. Their secondary structure includes four short double-helical elements and three loops (D, anti-codon, and T loops).
Source: Rfam by way of RNAcentral